RNAcentral lists this long non-coding RNA (5029 nucleotides) under Gossypium barbadense (sea-island cotton). Its description in RNAcentral is "long non-coding RNA (GBAR_LNC018191)". Lineage: Eukaryota; Viridiplantae; Streptophyta; Magnoliopsida; Malvales; Malvaceae. The record is from RNAcentral.
ACCGAGACGAGAGGUCCCAUGUAAGACUAUGUUUGGGACAUGGCGUUGGCACCGAGAUGAGAGGUCCCCUAUAAGACCAUGUCUGGGACAUGGCAUGGACACCAUCACGAGAACAUCCCAUGUAAGACCAUGUCUGGGACAUGGCUUUGGCAUGUUAUUAUCAGAAGAGACCCGAGUAUCCUUAUUAUUCCAAUGUAGCUCAACGGGCUUGUAAACGAAUCAUGUUCAUGAAAGUUCAGUUUAAAGCAUAAAUGGCAAGCUCAGGUAAGUUGUAAGACUUAAGAACUUAUUAUACUAUCAAUUGAUGUUCAACGAUGCAGCAAGGAUUGAGUAAGUUAUGCACACAAGUAUUCUAAGUAAACAAGUAAGAGAACUAGUAUGCGAUUAACUAAAGAGUAAACUAGAGAUAUAGACAUUGAGUUUAAUUAUUUAAGUUAAAUAUUGUUAUUUAUUUGCUAGUAAACUUACUAAGCUUUAUGCUUACUUCUUUUAUUUCUCUUUCUCUUAUAGUAUUGCAAAGCUACUUCAAGGAUCCUAAAGAAGUCGGAGAUCGUCCACACUAUCAACUACAACUGCUCGGUAUUUUAUAUCGAAACACGUUUGAGUUAUGGCAUGUAUAGGGAUUUAGUUAUUUUGUAUGUUUGUAAUGAUGAUUUUGCUAAUGAGUGAUGUGUAAGUAUUUGAUGAUGUAUGGUUAUUAAAAUGAUUAAGGAUGAAGGUGUUUGUUGUUAUGAAAGAUUAGGUGAUAAAUUAUGCAUGGAAAUCAUGAAAGGAUAAAAUUUUGCAAAGAAACAGAAUUCAGGCAGCACAGUGACGUGAAUUUGAAAAAUCACCCAAGAUAGUAUAAAAUGAAUUAGAGGGUGAAUGAUAUAUGGAAUUAAAGCUUGUUGAGUCUAUUUUCAUGGAAAAAUAACGGUGUAGAAAAAUGAAAUUUAUAUUUUAAGAUAUGUGAAUUUUAGUAAGAUAAGGACAGAACUGUUUUUGGAGUCCCCUGUUCUAAACUCAGAACUAUUUUGUAUUUCAGUUAUGACAGCUCAGAGGUGUGUUAGAAAAGGGUAUGAUGUUUAUUUGGCGUAUGUGUUGGAUACUAAGGUAUCUGAGUCAAAGAUACAGGCAGUGCCAGUUGUAUGUGAAUUUUCUGAUGUAUUUCCAGAGGAGUUACCAGGGUUGCCACCAGAAAGAGAAGUGAAAUUUUCUAUAGAUCUGAUUCCGGGAACUGCCCCAAUUUCCAUAGCUCCGUAUCGUAUGGCUCCUACAGAAUUAAAAGAGUUAAAGGCACAGUUACAGGAACUUGUUGACAGAGGUUUUGUUCGUCCGAGUCAUUCACCUUGGGGUGCUCCAAUUCUGUUUGUGAAAAAGAAAGACGGGUCUUUGAGAUUGUGUAUUGACUAUCGGCAGCUUAAUAAGGUAACUAUAAAUAAUAAGUACCCAUUGCCUCGAAUUAAUGACUUAUUUGAUCAACUGAAAGGUGCCACAGUAUUUUCAAAGAUUGAUCUCCGAUCGGGUUAUUAUCAGUUACGAGUAAAAGAGCCAGAUGUGCCAAAGACAGCUUUCAGAACCAGGUAUGGGCAUUAUGAGUUUCUGGUUAUGCCGUUUGGGUUGACUAAUGCACCUGCAGUAUUCAUGGAUUUGAUGAACCGGAUAUUCAGACCGUAUCUAGAUAGGUUUGUAGUAGUUUUUAUUGAUGACAUUUUAGUUUAUUCUCGGGAUGAAACUGAGCAUGCAGAACAUUUGAAAAUAGUGUUGCAAAUUCUGCGUGAAAAGAAACUUUAUGCUAAAUUCAGUAAAUGUGAAUUUUGGCUUCGAGAGGUAGGUUUUCUCGGACAUAUUGUAUCCGCAGAAGGCAUCAGGGUAGAUCCGAGUAAAAUUUCAGCUAUUGUCAAUUUGAGUCCACCGAAGAAUGUAUCUGAAGUUAGAAGUUUCUUGGGUUUAGCUGGUUAUUAUCGAGAUUUGUACAAGGGUUUUCUAUGAUAGCUUCUCCAAUGACCCGUUUAUUACAGAAAGAUGUUAAAUUUGAAUGGACAGAAAAAUGCUAGCAAAGUUUCGACCGAUUGAAGGAGUUGUUGACGAAAGCACCUGUGUUGGUACAGCCUGAAUCGGGUGGCUUGAAUUGAUAAAGGAUUAUGAUUUGGUUAUUGAUUACCAUCCGGGUAAGGCUAACGUGGUAGCUGAUGCUUUGAGCCGAAAAUCUUUAUUUGCUUUACGAGCUAUGAAUACCCGGUUGUCACUGUCUAAUGAUGGUUCAAUCAUAGCUGAAUUGAGAGCUAAAUCGACAUUUCGUCAACAAAUAUGUGAAGCUCAGAGGAAUGAUGAGAAAUUACAGGCUAAACGGGUGCAUUGUGAGUCAGGUAAUGAUUCAGAAUUUCAGAUUGGAACUGAUGGUUGUUUAUUAUUCAGAGGCAGAGUAUGUGUACCGAAGAAUUCAGAACUUGUACAGAAGAUUUUACACGAAGCACACAGUGGUAUUAUGUCCGUACAUCCGGGAGGUAAUAAAAUGUAUAAUGACUUGAAAAAGAUGUAUUUGUGGCCGGGUAUGAAACGUGAUAUCUCUGAGUUUGUAUCAAGAUGUUUGGUAUGUCAACAGGUUAAAGCUGAACAUCAGGUACCUUCGGGGUUGCUUCAGCCAAUUACUAUACCAGAAUGGAAAUGGGAAAGAAUUACUAUGGAUUUUGUGUCCGGAUUACCAUUGUCUCCGAAGAAGAAAGGUGCCAUUUGGGUGAUCGUUGAUCGAUUAACAAAAUCAGCACAUUUUAUCCCGGUACGUAUGGAUUAUUCUCUAGAUAAAUUAGCUGAACUGUAUAUAUCUGAGAUUGUUAGACUACAUGGAGUGCCUUUCUCCAUUAUAUCAGAUAGAGACCCCCGAUUUACGUCUCGUUUCUGGAACAAAUUGCAAGAAGCUUUGGGUACUCAGUUGCAUUUCAGUACUGCAUUUCAUCCUCAGACAGAUGGCCAAUCUGAGCGUGUAAUUCAGGUAUUGGAAGAUAUGCUCCGAUGUUGUGUAUUAGAAUUUCAAGGUAAUUGGGAAAGGUAUCUACCUUUAAUUGAAUUUGCUUAUAAUAACAGUUAUCAGUCCAGUAUUAAAAUGGCUCCGUAUGAAGCUUUAUAUGGUAGAAAAUGUAGAACACCAUUAUAUUGGACAGAGCUCAGUGAAAAGAAGAUACACGGGGUUGAUUUGAUCCGGGAAACAGAAGAAAAAGUAAGGCUGAUUCGAGAUAGUUUAAAAACAGCUUCCGAUCGUCAGAAGUCAUACGCCGAUCUUAAACGAAGGGAGAUUGAAUUUCAGGUGGGUGAUAAAGUAUUCUUAAAAGUGUCUCCUUGGAAGAAAGUUCUCCGGUUCGGUCGAAAGGGUAAAUUAAGUCCAAGAUUUAUCGGACCAUAUGAGAUUAUAGAAAGAAUUGGACCAGUUGCUUACCGAUUGGCUUUACCACCGGAACUCGACAAAAUUCAUAAUGUAUUUCAUGUAUCUAUGCUAUGACGGUAUCGAUCGGAUCCUUCACAUGUUAUUACUCCAACAGAAGUAGAAAUUCAGCCGGAUAUGACUUAUAAUGAAGAACCGGUUAAAGUAUUAGCACGAGAAACAAAGGAGCUUAGAAACAAAAAGGUAAAUCUGGUGAAAGUGCUAUGGCAAAAGCACGGGAUUGAGGAAGCAACAUGGGAACCGGAAGAGACAAUGAGGAAGCAAUACCCGAAUCUCUUUACUGGUAAGAUUUUCGAGGACGAAAAUCCUAAAAAGGGGGGGAGAGUUGUAAUGGCCCAAAUUUGAGGUUAUCGGAACAGUGGUUUCGGGACCACAAAUCCGAUGAGAAAAAUUUUAUUUUUCUUAUAUUUUUAUGGUCUACAAUUUCACAAAAUGAUUUUUUGAAAAUUUCGUUCGAAAAUUUCGACGUUUGGGCACUCAAUUUAGUCAAAAGGACUAAAUUGUAAAAAGUGCAAAAGUUGAGUUCUACAUGUUAGAGGUGUCCAAUUGUUAUGAAACUUUAAAUUGGAGGUCCUUAUAUGGUAAUUAUACCAUUGGUAACUUGGUAGACAAAAAUGGACAUGAGAUAAGUGAAAUAGAAAAUUUUUAAGUUAGGGGCAAUUUGGUAAUCUAGUAAUUAAAAUGAAUUAAAAGGGAAAAAGAUGGCAAAAAUCAUCAUCUUCUUCAUAUGAACGAAAUCAGCAAGGGGGGAAGCCAUAGUUAGGGUUUUCAAGCUUCCAAGCUCCAUAAUCAAGAAGUACGAAACUCGAGGUUAGACAAAGGGAAGAAUAAAGUUGAAGACUAAGUUGGUGAAUUUGGCUAUAAUUGGUACCGAGGUAAGUUUACGGUAAAUAAAUGCAAUAUUUCAAUAUUUAUUAUCAAUGCUGUUAUUUUUCAGCAACUAUGAAUUUAUUUUAUGAAUUUAUUUGAUGAUGAUCUAAGCAUGAAAUGAUAGAGAAUUAAAAUUAAAAAGUCCCGUUGAUACAUAAGGAUGGUACUGGAUACGAAUGUCAUGACAUUUGGGUAAAGAGGUCCCAUGUAAGACCAUGUCUGGGACAUGGCAUUGGCACCGAGAUGAGAGGUCCCAUGUAAGACCAUGUCUGGGACAUGGCGUUGGCACCGAGAUGAGAGGUCCCCUAUAAGACCAUGUCUGGGACAUGGCAUGGGCACCAACAUGAGAACAUCCCAUGUAAGACCAUGUCUGGGACAUGGCUUUGGCAUGUUAUUAUCAGAAGAGACCCGAGUAUCCUUAUUAUUCCAAUGUAGCUCAACGGGCUUGUAAACGAAUCAUGUUCAUGAAAGUUCAGUUUAAAGCAUAAAUGGCAAGCUCAGGUAAGUUGUAAGACUUAAGAACUUAUUAUACUAUCAAUUGAUGUUCAACGAUGCAGCAAGGAUUGAGUAAGUUAUGCACACAAGUAUUCUAAGUAAACAAGUAAGAGAACUAGUAUGAGAUUAACUAAAGAGUAAACCAGAGAUAUAGACAUUGAGUUUAAUUAUUUAAGUUAAAUAUUGUUAUUUAUUUGCUAGUAAACUUACUAAGCUUUAUGCUUACUUCUUUUAUUUCUCUUUCUC